This 315-nucleotide ribosomal RNA is filed under the name uncultured eukaryote. Its description in RNAcentral is "partial 18S ribosomal RNA". It matches the Rfam family "Eukaryotic small subunit ribosomal RNA", at positions 1470 to 1796 of the family's 1831-position model. The record is from RNAcentral.
CCCUUAGAUGUUCUGGGCUGCACGCGCGCUACACUGAAGCGUUCAACGAGUAUUCACCUUGCCCGGGAGGGUUGGGUAAUCUUUUGAAAACGCUUCGUGAUGGGGAUAGAUUAUUGCAAUUAUUAAUCUUCAACGAGGAAUUCCUAGUAAGCGCGAGUCAUCAGCUCGUGCUGAUUACGUCCCUGCCCUUUGUACACACCGCCCGUCGCACCUACCGAUUGAAUGGUCCGGUGAAGCCUCCGGAUUGGCGCGCACCUCGGUGCCGCCGAGAAGUUGGCUAAACCUUACCAUUUAGAGGAAGGUGAANUCGUAACA